Molecule: ribosomal RNA, 2926 nt
Filed under: Proteus mirabilis
Lineage: Bacteria; Pseudomonadati; Pseudomonadota; Gammaproteobacteria; Enterobacterales; Morganellaceae
Description: 23S ribosomal RNA
Rfam family: Bacterial large subunit ribosomal RNA
Source: RNAcentral
GGGUUGUGAGGUUAAGCGAAUAAGCGUACACGGUGGAUGCCUAGGCAAUCAGAGGCGAUGAAGGACGUGCUAAUCUGCGAAAAGCGUCGGUAAGGUGAUAUGAACCGUUAUACCCGACGAUAUCCGAAUGGGGAAACCCAGUAUCCAAUGGAUACUAUCAUUAACUGAAUCCAUAGGUUAAUGAGGCGAACCGGGAGAACUGAAACAUCUCAGUACCCCGAGGAAAAGAAAUCAACCGAGAUUCCCCUAGUAGCGGCGAGCGAACGGGGAGCAGCCCAGAGUCUUAAUCAAUAACAGUGUCAGGAGAACGGUCUGGAAAGUCCGGCAGUAAAGGGUGAUAGCCCCGUAUCUGAAGAUGCUGUUAUUGUGAACUCGACGAGUAGGGCGGGACACGUGUUAUCCUGUCUGAAUAUGGGGGGACCAUCCUCCAAGGCUAAAUACUCCUGAUUGACCGAUAGUGAACCAGUACCGUGAGGGAAAGGCGAAAAGAACCCCGGCGAGGGGAGUGAAAAAGAACCUGAAACCGUGUACGUACAAGCAGUAGGAGCCUCUUUAUGGGGUGACUGCGUACCUUUGUAUAAUGGGUCAGCGACUUAUAUUCUGUAGCAAGGUUAACCGUAUAGGGGAGCCGUAGGGAAACCGAGUCUUAACUGGGCGAAUGAGUUGCAGGGUAUAGACCCGAAACCCGGUGAUCUAUCCAUGGGCAGGUUGAAGGUUGGGUAACACUAACUGGAGGACCGAACCGACUAAUGUUGAAAAAUUAGCGGAUGACUUGUGGAUGGGGGUGAAAGGCCAAUCAAACCGGGAGAUAGCUGGUUCUCCCCGAAAGCUAUUUAGGUAGCGCCUCGUGAAUUCAUCUUCGGGGGUAGAGCACUGUUUCGACUAGGGGGUCAUCCCGACUUACCAACUCGAUGCAAACUGCGAAUACCGAAGAAUGUUAUCACGGGAGACACACGGCGGGUGCUAACGUCCGUCGUGAAGAGGGAAACAACCCAGACCGCCAGCUAAGGUCCCAAAGUCAUGGUUAAGUGGGAAACGAAGUGGGAAGGCUCAGACAGCCAGGAUGUUGGCUUAGAAGCAGCCAUCAUUUAAAGAAAGCGUAAUAGCUCACUGGUCGAGUCGGCCCGCGCGGAAGAUGUAACGGGGCUAAACCAUGCACCGAAGCUGCGGCAGCGACACAAAGUGUUGUUGGGUAGGGAGCGUUCUGUAAGCCUGCGAAGGUGUACUGUGAGGUAUGCUGGAGGUAUCAGAAGUGCGAAUGCUGACAUAAGUAACGAUAAUGCGGGUGAAAAACCCGCACGCCGGAAGACCAAGGGUUCCUGUCCAACGUUAAUCGGGGCAGGGUGAGUCGACCCCUAAGGCGAGGCUGAAAAGCGUAGUCGAUGGGAAACGGGUUAAUAUUCCCGUACUGGUGGUAACUGCGAUGGGGGAACGGAGAAGGCUAGGUUGUCCGGGCGACGGUCGUCCCGGUUCAAGCAGGUAGGCAGAGUGAUUAGGCAAAUCCGGUCACUUAAUGCUGAGAUGUGAUGACGAACCACUAAGGUGGUGAAGCAAUUGAUGCCCCGCUUCCAGGAAAAGCCUCUAAGCUUCAGGUUACCAACAAUCGUACCCCAAACCGACACAGGUGGUCAGGUAGAGAAUACUCAGGCGCUUGAGAGAACUCGGGUGAAGGAACUAGGCAAAAUGGUGCCGUAACUUCGGGAGAAGGCACGCUGGCGGUAGGUAAAGUCCCUUGCGGACGGCGCUGAAGCCAGUCGAAGAUACCAGCUGGCUGCAACUGUUUAUUAAAAACACAGCACUGUGCAAACACGAAAGUGGACGUAUACGGUGUGACGCCUGCCCGGUGCUGGAAGGUUAAUUGAUGGGGUUAGCGCAAGCGAAGCUCCUGAUCGAAGCCCCAGUAAACGGCGGCCGUAACUAUAACGGUCCUAAGGUAGCGAAAUUCCUUGUCGGGUAAGUUCCGACCUGCACGAAUGGCGUAAUGAUGGCCAGGCUGUCUCCACCCGAGACUCAGUGAAAUUGAACUCGCUGUGAAGAUGCAGUGUACCCGCGGCAAGACGGAAAGACCCCGUGAACCUUUACUAUAGCUUGACACUGAACAUUGAGCCUUGAUGUGUAGGAUAGGUGGGAGGCUUUGAAGUGUGGACGCCAGUCUGCAUGGAGCCAACCUUGAAAUACCACCCUUUAACGUUUGAUGUUCUAACCUAGGCCCAUAAACUGGGUCGGGGACCGUGUCUGGUGGGUAGUUUGACUGGGGCGGUCUCCUCCUAAAGAGUAACGGAGGAGCACGAAGGUUGGCUAAGCAUGGUCGGACAUCAUGCGGUUAGUGCAAAGGCAUAAGCCAGCUUGACUGCGAGAGUGACGGCUCGAGCAGGUACGAAAGUAGGUCUUAGUGAUCCGGUGGUUCUGAAUGGAAGGGCCAUCGCUCAACGGAUAAAAGGUACUCCGGGGAUAACAGGCUGAUACCGCCCAAGAGUUCAUAUCGACGGCGGUGUUUGGCACCUCGAUGUCGGCUCAUCACAUCCUGGGGCUGAAGUAGGUCCCAAGGGUAUGGCUGUUCGCCAUUUAAAGUGGUACGCGAGCUGGGUUUAGAACGUCGUGAGACAGUUCGGUCCCUAUCUGCCGUGGGCGUUGGAAGAUUGAGAGGGGUUGCUCCUAGUACGAGAGGACCGGAGUGAACGCACCACUGGUGUUCGGGUUGUCAUGCCAAUGGCAUUGCCCGGUAGCUAAGUGCGGAAGAGAUAACCGCUGAAAGCAUCUAAGCGGGAAACUUGCCUCGAGAUGAGUCUUCCCUGUCGCUUUAAGCGACCUAAAGGAACGUUUAAGACUAAGACGUUGAUAGGCUGGGUGUGUAAGCGUAGCGAUACGUUGAGCUAACCAGUACUAAUGAACCGUGAGGCUUAACCUGACAACACCGAAGGUGUUU